RNAcentral lists this ribosomal RNA (564 nucleotides) under uncultured cyanobacterium. Its description in RNAcentral is "bacterial SSU rRNA". It matches the Rfam family "Bacterial small subunit ribosomal RNA", at positions 338 to 916 of the family's 1533-position model. The record is from RNAcentral. Lineage: Bacteria; Bacillati; Cyanobacteriota.
CCUACGGGAGGCAGCAGUGGGGAAUUUUCCGCAAUGGGCGCAAGCCUGACGGAGCAACGCCGCGUGAGGGACGAAGGCCUCUGGGCUGUAAACCUCUUUUCUCAAGGAAGAAGACAUGACGGUACUUGAGGAAUAAGCCACGGCUAAUUCCGUGCCAGCAGCCGCGGUAAUACGGGAGUGGCAAGCGUUAUCCGGAAUUAUUGGGCGUAAAGCGUCCGCAGGCGGCCCAGCAAGUCUGUUGUUAAAAAGUGGAGCUCAACUCCAUCCAGGCAAUGGAAACUGCUGGGCUAGAGUGUGGUAGGGGCAGAGGGAAUUCCCGGUGUAGCGGUGAAAUGCGUAGAUAUCGGGAAGAACACCAGUGGCGAAGGCGCUCUGCUGGGCCAUAACUGACGCUCAUGGACGAAAGCCAGGGGAGCGAAAGGGAUUAGAUACCCCUGUAGUCCUGGCCGUAAACGAUGAACACUAGGUGUCGGGGGAAUCGACCCCCUCGGUGUCGUAGCCAACGCGUUAAGUGUUCCGCCUGGGGAGUACGCACGCAAGUGUGAAACUCAAAGGAAUUGACGG